UACGGGGGGGGCAAGCGUUGUUCGGAUUUACUGGGCGUAAAGGGCGCGUAGGCGGCCAGCACAAGUCAGUUGUGAAAUCUCCGAGCUUAACUCGGAAAGGUCAACUGAUACUGUGCGGCUAGAGUGCAGAAGGGGCAACUGGAAUUCUCGGUGUAGCGGUGAAAUGCGUAGAUAUCGAGAGGAACACCUGCGGCGAAGGCGGGUUGCUGGGCUGACACUGACGCUGAGGCGCGAAAGCUAGGGGAGCGAACGGG
RNAcentral lists this ribosomal RNA (254 nucleotides) under uncultured bacterium. RNAcentral describes it as "partial 16S ribosomal RNA". It matches the Rfam family "Bacterial small subunit ribosomal RNA", at positions 524 to 776 of the family's 1533-position model. The record is from RNAcentral.